This 249-nucleotide ribosomal RNA is filed under the name uncultured prokaryote. RNAcentral's name for it is "partial 16S ribosomal RNA". It matches the Rfam family "Bacterial small subunit ribosomal RNA", at positions 524 to 772 of the family's 1533-position model. The record is from RNAcentral.
UACGGAGGAUGCGAGCGUUAUCCGGAUUUAUUGGGUUUAAAGGGUGCGUAGGCGGCCGAGUAAGUCAGCGGUGAAAUUUUGCAGCUUAACUGUAACAGUGCCGUUGAUACUGCAUGGCUAUGAUUUGGUUGCUGUGGGUGGAAUGUGUGGUGUAGCGGUGAAAUGCUUAGAUAUCACACAGAAUAUCAAUUGCGAAGGCAGCUCACAAAGCCAAGAUUGACGCUGAGGCACGAAAGUGUGGGGAUCAAA